AUUGAACGCUGGCGGCGUGCCUAACACAUGCAAGUCGAGCGGUAACAGGUGUAGCAAUACAUGCUGACGAGCGGCGAACGGGUGAGUAAUGCUUCGGAAUCUACCCAAUGGUGGGGAAUAACCAGCCGAAAGGUUGGCUAAUACCGCAUACGUCCUACGGGAGAAAGCAGGGGAUCGUAAGACCUUGCGCCAAUGGAUGAGCCGAAGUCGGAUUAGCUAGUUGGAGGGUAACGGCCUACCAAGGCGACGAUCCGUAGCUGGUCUGAGAGGACGACCAGCCACACUGGGACUGAGACACGGCCCAGACUCCUACGGGAGGCAGCAGUGGGGAAUAUUGGACAAUGGGGGAAACCCUGAUCCAGCGACGCCGCGUGUGUGAAGAAGGCCUGCGGGUUGUAAAGCACUUUUAGUGGGGAUGAAAAGUUCAGGGCUAAUACCCCUGGAUCUUGACCUAA
This 455-nucleotide ribosomal RNA is filed under the name uncultured bacterium. RNAcentral's name for it is "bacterial SSU rRNA". It matches the Rfam family "Bacterial small subunit ribosomal RNA", at positions 30 to 477 of the family's 1533-position model. The record is from RNAcentral.